Danaus plexippus (monarch butterfly) is the source of this 593-nucleotide long non-coding RNA. RefSeq lists it as uncharacterized. Lineage: Eukaryota; Metazoa; Arthropoda; Insecta; Lepidoptera; Nymphalidae. The record is from RefSeq and is a predicted model, not a curated record. The transcript has 2 exons.
CACAAAUGUUAAAUUAUUUGGGGGCUUCAUUCAACACGGGUAUGGUGCGAUCGGAAGAAAUAUAAUGAACACAAAACUGAUUAUUCUUGGUUGUGUAGCACUUUUGUUACAACUUUCACAUCAGGCUGGACGGAAAAAAUGUCAUGACAAGAAUUGCAUGAAACGCAAACAGAACAAUGACAAUGAUGUUGACGACACGAAAAACGCUGAUUAUUUUAAUAAAAAAGGAAUUGCCCCAAUGAUAAUGAUAUAUCCAAUAGGCGGCUUGAAGCGGGAAGAAAACAAAAAAUUAUCACAAGGAAAGAAAAAACUCUUUAUAAGAAACCUUUUACAGCUUUUCACGGAGGCGGGAAAUACUGUCACUGCAAUCCUGAACUUUUUUUAAAUGCUCCGCUGCAGGAGCUAUCAUCAAAUGAAAGUGAUCACAUUGCUAUCCUUUGAGAAUUCUUCAACUUAUUAACAUAGACAACUGAGAUUUUAUUAAAUUACGAAUAUAAAAUAUAUUUUUGAAAAUUACAUCAUUUCAAAAAAUAAUUCAUUAAAAAAAAAAAACGUAUUUUCUUCCUUUUAACUGAAUAAAUAUUCUUUUCUGA